GGAUAGCUCAGUGGGAGAGCAGAUGACCGCUAAUCAUCCUGUCUCGGGUUCGAAUCCCGAUCCA
This 64-nucleotide transfer RNA is filed under the name Myxococcota bacterium. Its description in RNAcentral is "tRNA-Ser". It matches the Rfam family "tRNA", at positions 5 to 66 of the family's 71-position model. From Rfam's summary of the family: Transfer RNA (tRNA) molecules are approximately 80 nucleotides in length. Their secondary structure includes four short double-helical elements and three loops (D, anti-codon, and T loops). Lineage: Bacteria; Pseudomonadati; Myxococcota. The record is from RNAcentral.